ACACACACACACACACACACACACACACAGAGAGAGAAAGACCAAGGCAGAUGGACACAUUUUCUGACCCCAAGUCCAAGAGGUGGGUCACCACACAGCUGCACAAAGUCACCCCAGGAUGACAUCAGGCAGGAGGAAAACAGUCCAUGCUGAGGGAGGGGAACCAGAAAUAAUGAUUAGGGGGGAAAGAAAACAAACACUGGUAAGAAAAGAACAAGGCCAAGUUGAGAUAAACACAGAUUAGAAAUGCAAAUUACAGCACAAGGUGCCUUGGGAAACAGCGGGGCUGGGGCUGGAGCAAACAAGUCAUAAAGUGAGAGGCAGGAAGCAGGAGGGGCCAGGCAGAGAGAGAAAUACUAGCUCUGUGUGCUGAGGAGGGGUGGGGUGAGAGGGAUACCUGUGACGUGGGAGUGUGGGAGUGCUGAGGGGGUGUGGGGGCGUGGAGCAUGUAGGGAGAUGUGGGGGCAUGAGAUGUAUGUGAGAGGUUUAUUACUGUGUGUGUGUGUGUGUGUGUGUAUGUGCGCGCACGUGCGUGCGUGCGUGUGCGUGUGGUGUGGGUAUGUGUGUGGUUUGUAGGAUGUAUGGAAGGUGUAGGAAGGACGUGGGGUACAUAUGUCAAUUUGUAUGUGUAUGUAUGGUGUCUGUGUGGGUGUAUCUGUGUGUGUCUGUGUGUCUCUCUCUAUAUAUGUGUCUGUGUGUCUCUCUGUGUGUGUGCGUGUUUCUCUGUGUGUAUGUGUCUCUGUUUGUGAGUCUGUGUGUGUCUGUGUUUAUGUGUCUGUGUGUGCCUGUGCAUGUGUAUCUGUGUGGGUGUCUCUGUAUGUGUGUCUGUGUGUGCGUGUUUUUCUCUGUGUGUAUGUGUCUCUGUAUCUGUAUGUGUGUGUCUGUGUGUGUCUCUGUGUGUGUCUGUGUCUCUGUGUGUGUGUCUGUGUUUAUGUGUCUGUGUGUGCCUGUGCAUGUGUAUCUGUGUAUGUGUCUCUGUAUCUGUGUGUGUGUCUGUGUGUGUCUCUGUUUGUGUAGUUCAGAGAGCAGUUUUAGGCAUUAUUCCUUAAGAGCACUGCCCGUUUUGCUUUAGAGACUGGGUCUCUCAGUGAUCUAAGGCUCACUGAAUAGGCUAGGCUGGCUGGCCAUAGCAGAGCAUAAGGACUUGGACUGGAAGUGCAUGGUUGCCAGGCCAGGAAAUCUGGGAAGCAGCCUCCGUGUCCACAGAGCAGAGGAGAAACAUCUGGCAGCCUGUGGGCAGGCUGAGCCCAGAUGUGAGUUUGUGGGAUUGACUGCUGUGUGCUGUACUGUCCUAUGUCCUUGUACUGAUUCAUUCUCUUCAAAAGGAAAAAGGAAUUGGAAAAAAAAAAAAGCAAUGAGCAUGCAUUAUGGAUGAGAACGGAACCCUGAGAGUUCUGGAAAUACAGCAGGGACAAGCUGCUAAAGGGAAAGCCUUGGCUCUUCCUGUCCGCAGGGAAGCAGGAGACACAACCCUGCAUCUCCACUGUGGGAACAGGACCAAUACCUUUGCAACUCUUCUGAGAUCUGCCAUGUGGUCAAUAGCCCUUUGGCAUCACUGCUGCCUCUGGCUAGUCUGCAUAGACCUGUUAGGUCUCUUCAUGAAGCUGCGGACUCCAGGGGUCCAGACUCCCACUGGCUUAUAACACUGGCAAGCAUGGGAGGUGGCCUGAGCUCAAGUCCAUUGAUGGGGAUUGAGGAUGGCAGGAGCCCAGCCCUUUGUCCUGACCUCUGUGUCUUUUGAUUCUAUUGUACAAAAAGGAGGUUACUGCACAACCCUGAGGCACCUGUAAGCAACAGCAUGCUGCUGAGUCUGUGGUAGGGACAUGUGACCAGUAGGUGGAGCCCUUGGUCUCACAAUUCCAGUCCACUCCCUAGCUCAGAGACCAACUUCAACUCAGCCUCAGCCUUACCAGGCCAGCAUGGCUUCUCUGGCUACUCGGAUAGUAUGAAAACACCCGCACGAGUCACAGGGAUGGUCCCAGCCAAGGCUCUCGUCUCCUGGAGGAACAUCGCACCUCCCACUCUGCUGUGGCUGGGUCCCUUGCAAUCAGAAGCUCUGACUCAGAAGAUCUCAGCAACACCCGUGUAUCAGCCACUGCCAUGUCUGACCAAAGACAGCUGUCCCCAAGCCUGACAAUCUGAGUGUGAUCCCCAGGAACCAUGAAGUGGAAUGGGAGAAGCCAUUCCCACAUGUUGUCCUUUGACCUCGACAUGUAUGCCAAGAAAGCAGCUGCUAAUGUGUGGAGCAGGGGCAGGACAUCACUGACAAGAGCUGGUCACUGUCAUCAGAGCUGCCAUCAUGGGUCAGCUCUGGCUUCAGAAGGCCCUGGAAAGCACAACACAGCUCUUCCUGAACGUCACUUGCUUCCAUCGUUCAGUCAGUCUGUGGGGCUCUCCCCCCUGGUCCUGUUUGUUCACCCUUCCCUGGCUCUAUGGUUAGAAACAGUACAACCAGGAAGUACUUCAAUGUUCCCUGCCCAACACCCUGGACUCAGAUGAGGCUGAUGUGUGGUGCCUCGUUCCUGUGGGGUGGGGUGGGAAGGGAUGGGGUUUCUAACAUGAGGAGGGGGUUGUUUGCACCAACUAUAGACACACUUGAGUAAGCCACAGCUGCGAUGGUCCUUGGGUCUGACUCAUCUAUGAGGAGUCUCCUUGACGAUGGAGUACCCUUACUUGAGCUCUAUCACUCAAGCUAACGGCGCCUGAUACAGAAACAGCAUUCAAAGCCAACACCAAACUCUUUCCAGCCACGAGUGGCAGUGCAUGCUUGCAACCCAAGCACUCAGGAGGCUGAGGCAGGAAGGCUGUGAGUUCAUGGUCAGCCUGGGCUACAUAGCAAGACUCUUUUCUUUAAAAAAAAAAAAAAAAAAGUGAAAAAUCAGGUGUGGUGACACACAUCUUUAAUCCCUCCCAUAACUUAAGGGACAAAAGCAGAUGGGUUUCUGUGAGUUCAAGGCCAACCUCAUCUUCACAAUGAGACUUUGAGUGACCCAGGGAUGUGGCUAGCAUGCAGGAAGCUCUGGGUUCCAUCCCCAGCACUGAGCAGGUAGAAGCAAGGGGCUCAGAAGUUCAAGGUCAGCCUCAGCUGUGGGAGCUCACAGCAGCUUGAGAGCAACACGCUGCCUCAAAGUAAAACCUCUAGCUUUUUUUUUAAAGACCUACUUAGGAGUAAGUGAUAAGAACCUCCUCAAACCGUGGUCAGCCUCUCUCUAGGUAAUGAAUCCACUUUAAAUUUGUCUCCCUCCAGCCCAGACAGCAUCUCACUAUGUAGCUCUGACUGACUAGAACUCAUUAGGGGAAACCUGUACAGAAAAGGUACGCUGUGGAGCUAGAAAGAUGGCUUUAUGGCUCAGAGCUAUAAAGUGCUGAGUCUUCUAGCACAGCAGCAAACACUUUUUAUGGUUGAGCCAUCUCUCUACAACCCCUCUUUCUUUGAUUAAAGAUUUAUUUACUUAGUGCA
This is a long non-coding RNA of Mus musculus (house mouse), 3460 nucleotides long. RefSeq annotates it as predicted gene, 38732. The transcript has 3 exons. The record is from RefSeq and is a predicted model, not a curated record. Lineage: Eukaryota; Metazoa; Chordata; Mammalia; Rodentia; Muridae.